This 1361-nucleotide long non-coding RNA is filed under the name Marmota monax (woodchuck). Lineage: Eukaryota; Metazoa; Chordata; Mammalia; Rodentia; Sciuridae. The record is from RNAcentral.
GUGUGGCUUAGCUGCCAGGGAACCAUGUAUAUCUCAUGUCCCAUUCAUCUUGUUCUCAGGAUGUUUUAUAUCCUUGCAUAUAAUAAGUGUUCAAAAAAUAGCCAAAUCAAAAGCCAAGGGACUGAAAAAGUUCCAGUCUUAUAUUUCAGAGUGAGAGAUUUAAUACUUCUAGUCUUGCUUAACCCACUGGACUGAUUUCCUGCUAGUUAUUCUUCAGGAACAUUCAUGGACGUGCUGUUUCCUUAAGUCUCUAGGACUAUGCCUAGAGUUAACUUUGGGUAAAAUUAUUUCCUUUGGAUGUUAGAGGAGUUGGGGAACUAGAUAUGGUACCAUCAUUGUAUUCUCUUCAGAGCUAACAGGAAGAUCGCUAAGAAAAAGAAUAUAGCACGUGGGAAGUGCUGAAGCUCAGAUGCAAAGCCAACUAUGGGAUUCAGGUCUCUUUUGAGACAGGGUCUUGCUCUCUUGUCCAGUCUGGUCUCCAACUCCUGGGCACAAGUGAUCCUCCUGCUUCAGUCUCCCAAGUAACUGGGACUAUAGGCAUAUGCCACUGUGCCUGGCUACUGUAACUCCUUUUUGUUUUUUAGUUUUAAAUUUCUUUAAUUCUUGUUUAACUAUACACUUGGUUUAUUAAGUCUUAUUUUAUUGGUUCUUUUUCACUAUAUACAACAUUAAGAUUCAGUUUGACAUAAUUAUAGAACAUGGAAUAUAAUUUACUCUAAUUCAGUUCCUAGUACUUCCCCUUUCUCUCCCCUCUUCCCUCCUUAGUCUCCUUCCCUCUAUUUUACUGAUAUUUCUGCUAUUUAUAGUUUUUUUUUCAAAUUAGUGUCUUGUGAAUGUACAUUGAUGGUGAGAUUCACUGUGGUAUAUUCAUAUAUGUACAUAGGGGAAUUAGGUCAGAUUCAUUCCACUGUUCUUCCCUUAUCCUGUUCUUCCUCUCUCUCCUUAAUCUUCUUCAUUUAGUUCACUGAUCUUUCUUUUAUUUUGAUGGAACCCCAUACCCCUCUUUACUCACUCUCUGUCUCUUUUCCCCCUUAUUUUGGACUAGCUUCUGCAUAUCAGAGAAAACAUUCUAAGGUCUUUCUCUUUGUUGUUGUUGUUAUAAACAUAUAAUAUGGAAUGCUUCACAUAUUUGCAUGUCACCCUUGCACAGGGGCCAUACCAAUCUUUUCUGUUUCAGUCCAACUUUAGAAUAUGUGCUGCUGAAGUGAGCAUUCUAAGGACCUACUCUUGAUGAAGACCCAGCACUAAACCUGAUCUCAAGAGAAUUAAGGACUUUCUUCUCAAAUUCUUCCAUGGAUGUAGUAAAGGUCUUGGCAGUUGGAAUUUUGUCUUUACUCUGAUGCCUAGGCUUAGAAAUAAAC